GAACCAAUACACCAUCUGUUAACAGCAGGUGGUGUAAAAAAGGUGAUUCAUAGUAACCGAACGGAUCGCAUUAUGGUCAUUUUAUAUGGCUGGCGAUAGAUCAUUCAAGUUUCUGACCUAUCAGCUUUCGACGGUAGUGUAUUGGACUACCGUGGCAGUGACGGGUAACGGGGAAUUAGGGUUCGAUUSCGGAGAGGGAGCCUGAGAAACGGCUACCACAUCUAAGGAAGGCAGCAGGCGCGCAAAUUACCCAAUCCUGACUCAGGGAGGUAGUGACAAGAAAUAACAACAAUGGAAAUUUUAUUUCUAGUGAUUGGAAUGAUGGGAAUUUAAACCCCUUUCAGAGUAACAAUUGGAGGGCAAGUCUGGUGCCAGCAGCCGCGGUAAUUCCAGCUCCAAUAGCGUAUAUUAAAGUUGUUGCAGUUAAAAAGCUCGUAAUUGGAUGUCUGCUGGAAGCAAUCAGUCCGCCCUAUUUGUAGGGUGUGCACUUGAUGAAUUCUGGCAUCUAUAUCCCAAUAAUAUGAUGGUGUAUACCCUGUGUACACCCAUCUAUAUUGGGAUAAUACCGUUACUUUGAGAAAAUUAGAGUGUUUGAAGCAGGCUAAUUGCCUUGAAUACUGCAGCAUGGAAUAACAAUAUAGGAUUUCGGUUCUAUUUUGUUGGUUUCUAGGACUGAAAUAAUGAUUAAUAGGGACAGUUGGGGGCAUUCGUAUUUAACU
This 719-nucleotide ribosomal RNA is filed under the name Sarcocystis cf. cruzi. RNAcentral describes it as "SSU rRNA". It matches the Rfam family "Eukaryotic small subunit ribosomal RNA", at positions 221 to 914 of the family's 1831-position model. The record is from RNAcentral. Lineage: Eukaryota; Apicomplexa; Conoidasida; Eucoccidiorida; Sarcocystidae.